UUGUACAUAGCAAGGUAAGGGUUAAUUA
Molecule: small RNA, 28 nt
Filed under: Bombyx mori (domestic silkworm)
Lineage: Eukaryota; Metazoa; Arthropoda; Insecta; Lepidoptera; Bombycidae
Description: ovarian small RNA-38068
Source: RNAcentral